Molecule: non-coding RNA, 519 nt
Organism: Phascolarctos cinereus (koala)
Lineage: Eukaryota; Metazoa; Chordata; Mammalia; Diprotodontia; Phascolarctidae
Source: RefSeq, a predicted model, not a curated record
ACAGCUCUUGAGGUUGAAAAUGGAUUGCUAGAGGCUAGCUUCUAUUCAGUUUCUUUCCUUUCUCCUUUCCCAGUCUCCAUUUCUCUCCCCUCUCCUUCUCUCCUUCCUUUCUAAGUUUGUAUGCAGAACCUGAUGGAUAGGGCAAUGUAUGUAAGACCAAGGCUGACUCCCCUGGGGGAAAGCCAGCAUGGCUAUAGCAGAGCUAUUCAAUGAUGAGCUGAGGGACCUGGAAGCCUAGACAUGAGCUACAUCAAGCCAUAUUCUGAGGUUUCCCAGAGAAAAUCCUGAGUUGAAGCAAAAGGAGUCAAAGACAACCUACUCACAAGAUUGCACCAAGAAUCCAUGUUAUCAGAACAAAGCCUUCCUUGAAAGAACAGAGGAGUUUCAAGAGAAGAAAAAGGAUUUGAAAAUCUGAACCUUGGUCAAGAUGCUGAAAGGUAGAAGAAUAUGAUCUACAAAAAAAGGAAAAGAAACACUAAGCUUUCCUUCCUUCCUUCCUUCCCUCCUUCCUUCCCUCCU